This 440-nucleotide ribosomal RNA is filed under the name uncultured bacterium. RNAcentral's name for it is "partial 16S ribosomal RNA". It matches the Rfam family "Bacterial small subunit ribosomal RNA", at positions 338 to 795 of the family's 1533-position model. The record is from RNAcentral.
CCUACGGGUGGCAGCAGUAGGGAAUAUUGCUCAAUGGGGGAAACCCUGAAGCAGCAACGCCGCGUGGAGGAUGAAGGUUUUCGGAUUGUAAACUCCUUUUGUUAGAGAAGAUAAUGACGGUAUCUAACGAAUAAGCACCGGCUAAACCCGUGCCAGCAGCCGCGGUAAUACGGAGGGUGCAAGCGUUACUCGGAAUCACUGGGCGUAAAGAGCGCGUAGGCGGGAUAGCAAGUCAGAUGUGAAAUCCUAAGGCUUAACCAUAGAACUGAAUUUGAAAUGGUUAUUCUAGAGUAUGGGAGAGGUAUGUGGAAAUCUUGGUGGAGGGGUAAAAUCCGUAGAGAUCCAGAGGAAUACUCAUUGUGAAAGCGACCUGCUAGGACCUUACUGACGCUGAUGCGCGAAAGCGUGGGGAGCAAACAGGAUUAGAUACCCCAGUAGUC